GGUAUAGCUCAGUUGGUAGAGCGCCAGAUUGUGGCUCUGGAGGUCAUGGGUUCGAAACCCCUUA
This 64-nucleotide transfer RNA is filed under the name human gut metagenome. It matches the Rfam family "tRNA", at positions 6 to 65 of the family's 71-position model. Rfam says of the family: Transfer RNA (tRNA) molecules are approximately 80 nucleotides in length. Their secondary structure includes four short double-helical elements and three loops (D, anti-codon, and T loops). The record is from RNAcentral.